CUCCCGCCGGCGACCGGCGCACGGGUGAGUAACACGUAUGAAACCUGCCCGUAGCAGGGGGAUAAGCGGAAGAAAUUCCGUCUAAUACCGCGUAACAACCCGAGGAGGCAUCUCCUCGGGUUUAAAGGAAGCGAUUCCGGCUACGGAUGGUCAUGCGUCGCAUUAGCUAGUUGGCGGGGUAACGGCCCACCAAGGCGACGAUGCGUAGGGGUUCUGAGAGGAGGGUCCCCCACACUGGUACUGAGACACGGACCAGACUCCUACGGGAGGCAGCAG
Molecule: ribosomal RNA, 276 nt
Filed under: uncultured bacterium
Lineage: Bacteria
Description: partial 16S ribosomal RNA
Rfam family: Bacterial small subunit ribosomal RNA
Source: RNAcentral